This 428-nucleotide ribosomal RNA is filed under the name uncultured Acidobacterium sp. RNAcentral describes it as "bacterial SSU rRNA". It matches the Rfam family "Bacterial small subunit ribosomal RNA", at positions 958 to 1385 of the family's 1533-position model. Lineage: Bacteria; Pseudomonadati; Acidobacteriota; Terriglobia; Terriglobales; Acidobacteriaceae. The record is from RNAcentral.
AACGCGAAGAACCUUACCUGGGCUCGAACGGCUUCGGACAAUCCUUGGAAACAGGGACUUCCCGCAAGGGACUGGAGUCGAGGUGCUGCAUGGCUGUCGUCAGCUCGUGUCGUGAGAUGUUGGGUUAAGUCCCGCAACGAGCGCAACCCUUGUCCUGUGUUGGCAUGCCGCAAGGCGCAACUCUCAGGAGACCGCCAGCGAUAAGUUGGAGGAAGGUGGGGAUGACGUCAAGUCAUCAUGGCCUUUAUGUCCAGGGCCACACACGUGCUACAAUGGGCGGUACAAAGCGCUGCCAACCCGCGAGGGGGAGCUAAUCGCCAAAAACCGUCCUCAGUUCGGAUUGCAGGCUGCAACUCGCCUGCAUGAAGCUGGAAUCGCUAGUAAUGCUAUAUCAGAACGAUAGCGUGAAUACGUUCCCGGGCCUUGUA